This 424-nucleotide ribosomal RNA is filed under the name Pseudoramibacter alactolyticus. RNAcentral's name for it is "bacterial SSU rRNA". It matches the Rfam family "Bacterial small subunit ribosomal RNA", at positions 28 to 436 of the family's 1533-position model. Lineage: Bacteria; Bacillati; Bacillota; Clostridia; Eubacteriales; Eubacteriaceae. The record is from RNAcentral.
GACGAACGCUGGCGGUAUGCUUAACACAUGCAAGUCGAACGAGAAGUUUUUUAUUGAACCUUCGGGGGAUAUAAGAGACAGACAGUGGCGAACGGGUGAGUAACGCGUGGGCAACCUACCUAUCGGAGCGGGAUAGCCUCGAGAAAUCGGGAGUAAAACCGCAUAACACGGAUAUAUCGCAUGAUGAAUCCGUCAAAACUCCGGUGCCGAUAGAUGGGCCCGCGUCUGAUUAGCUAGUUGGUAAGGUAAGGGCUUACCAAGGCAACGAUCAGUAGCCGGUGUGAGAGGGCGAACGGCCACACUGGAACUGAGACACGGUCCAGACUCUACGGGAGGCAGCAGUGGGGAAUAUUGCGCAAUGGGGGCAACCCUGACGCAGCAAUACCGCGUGAGUGAAGAAGGUUUUCGGAUCGUAAAGCUCUGU